Oncorhynchus keta (chum salmon) is the source of this 689-nucleotide long non-coding RNA. RefSeq lists it as uncharacterized. Lineage: Eukaryota; Metazoa; Chordata; Actinopteri; Salmoniformes; Salmonidae. The transcript is spliced from 3 exons. The record is from RefSeq and is a predicted model, not a curated record.
GGUAGACCUGAUCCGAGGUCAGGUUCCAUGGACAGGGUAGACCUGAUCCGAGGUCAGGUUCCAUGGACAGGGUAGACCUGAUCCGAGGUCAGGUUCCAUGGACAGGGUAGACCUGAUCCGAGGUCAGGUUCCAUGGACAGGGUAGACCUGAUCCGAGGUCAGGUUCCAUGGACAGGGUAGACCUGAUCCGAGGUCAGGUUCCAUGGACAGGGUAGACCUGAUCCUAGGUCAGGUUCCAUGGACAGGGUAGACCUGAUCCUAGGUCAGGUUCCAUGGACAGGGUAGACCUGAUCCUAGGUCAGGUUCCAUGGACAGGGUAGACCUGAUCCUAGGUCAGGUUCCAUGGACAGGGUAGACCUGAUCCUAGGUCAGGUUCCAUGGACAGGGUAGACCUGAUCCUAGGUCAGGUUCCAUGGACAGGGUAGACCUGAUCCUAGGUCAGGUUCCAUGGACAGGGUAGACCUGAUCCGAGGUCAGGUUCCAUGGACAGGGUAGACCUGAUCCGAGGUCAGGUUCCAUGGACAGGGUAGACCUGAUCCGAGGUCAGGUUCCAUGGACAGGGUAGACCUGAUCCGAGGUCAGGUUCCAUGGACAGGGUAGACCUGAUCCGAGGUCAGGUUCCAUGGACAGGGUAGACCUGAUCCGAGGUCAGGUUCCAUGGACAGGGUAGACCUGAUCCGAGGUCAGGU